GGAGAACAUCUACCGGUACUACAACUGCAUCUAAUGUUACAUCUGUUACAUUUUAAAUUGUGUGUAUUUUUCAGUAAUAUGACAUUGACAAGGGAAUUACUGCAGAGGACAGCGCAAGGGGGCAAACGAUUAAUAAGAUGGCUCCAGAAGGAGAGGCUGGUUGCAAGGAAAAAACGAUGCCCUGUGUGCAACAACAGAAUGCAAUUCAAAAGAACCAGCACAACCAAGGAUGGAUACAGGUGGAUCUGUAGAAAGGCCAACCACAGGGGAAGGUGCAUCACAAGGUCCAUCAGAGAGGGCUCAAUAUUCUCCAGAUCCCACAUUCCACUACCAUCAUGGAUGACAAUAAUGCACAGUUUGUCACAGGGUUUGAGGAAGAGGCAAGUGGACAUGAUAGAGGAUGGAGUAUGUGGGAGCAGCAAAUCACUGACCAGGGUGACUACACUUCUGAGGGAAAUCUGCGGUGAAGCAAUCAGACGACUGGAAGGAAGACGGGAAAUGCAAAUUGGAGGGAGGAGAGCUUUUGUAUCAAUAGACGAGAGCAAAUUCAGACACAAAAGAAAGUACGGUCGUGGACGACGUGGAAACACCUG
This is a long non-coding RNA of Gadus morhua (Atlantic cod), 593 nucleotides long. The record is from Ensembl. Lineage: Eukaryota; Metazoa; Chordata; Actinopteri; Gadiformes; Gadidae.